GAAAUGCGAUAACUAGUGUGAAUUGCAGAAUUCCGUGAAUCAUCGAGUCUUUGAACGCACAUUGCGCCCCCUGGUAUUCCGGGGGGCAUGCCUGUCCGAGCGUCAUUGCUGCCCAUCAAGCACGGCUUGUGUGUUGGGUCGUCGUCCCCUCUCCGGGGGGGACGGGCCCCAAAGGCAGCGGCGGCACCGCGUCCGAUCCUCGAGCGUAUGGGGCUUUGUCACCCGCUCUGUAGGCCCGGCCGGCGCUUGCCGAACGCAAAUCAAUCUUUUUCCAGGUUGACCUCGGAUCAGGUAGGGAUACCCGCUGCACUUAAGC
Molecule: unclassified non-coding RNA, 316 nt
Filed under: plant metagenome
Description: partial contains 5.8S ribosomal RNA, internal transcribed spacer 2, and large subunit ribosomal RNA
Rfam family: 5.8S ribosomal RNA (bases 1-105)
Source: RNAcentral